This is a non-coding RNA of Phoenix dactylifera (date palm), 852 nucleotides long. Lineage: Eukaryota; Viridiplantae; Streptophyta; Magnoliopsida; Arecales; Arecaceae. The record is from RefSeq and is a predicted model, not a curated record.
CGGAAUCCCCUCUCCGUUUUCCUUAGUCCUUGAAGCUUUGAUUUCGGCCGGCUAUUGUCGGAUUUUUGUUAAGAAAGUUGAUGCUUUGUUUCCCCUAUUAUCAAACAUCUAUCCUCCUUUUUCUGGUCGUUUUCACCGCUGGUGCUCGUUGUUGAGGCCUUCGUCCGGUCCCUUGUAGCAGCUUGUAGCCAUAGCCGGAGCCCCAGCCAUCGGGAUGCCAUAAAUCUUUGGAUAUUGGACCAAAGACCCUAUUUUGGUGUAGUUUUGUUUGAUUUCUUUUUGCCGCCGCCCAUCUGCUAUCGUUGGUCAUUGUCCAUGGUGGUUGACUGAUUUUGUUGGAUCCAAAGCUCUCCUCAAUGAUCUUGAUCAACCCUGGUGAAGGAGAUCCUGAUCCAUGGCUGCUGGGUAGCAUGCCGACCUUAACUAUGGACAUCGUUAGAUUUGGUCAUCUUUAAUUUCUGUUGAACCAUUUAUAGUAGUUCAACCAUGAUCAGAUAAAAUUAUUUUGAUUGGACCGAUCGAGAUGUUAGGCACUCUCACUUGGCCAGUCCUAUAAGCAUAUCAAAACUUAAAAUUUUAUUAUUAAAAUAAUCAAGACUAAAUUAUGAUAAAAAAUAUAAUUUUUGGUUCUUAGGCUCUCAAGGAGAUUUUUAGAGUUAAUUGGAUUUGUCGGAUGAUUUUAUUUGUAAGGUAGGUAAUGUAAUCUUUUUUUUGAAUUUAUUGACAAAUUAUAAAUACUUAUUUCAUUAAACCUUGGGUUGUAUUGCUUGUGAUUUAUAUUAUUUUGUUAUUGAAUACGUCAUAUUGUGGAACAUUAUUUGGUGCAUGAUUGAAAGUGCUGAGUUUGAUCAA